GUCAUGUUUUCCUGUUUUUCUUAGCUUCUUUUAUAAGUUUCAGUUAUAUGUUGCUUAAUUUGAAAAAGCUCAUGGAUGGUAUUUUCUCAUCAACGUAAAAUAUCUUUGGUAUCCUGUUUGGUGCUUUUUGUUUUGAAUUGUACAUCCUUUUUGUCUGUCAUUUAACUUUAGAUGGGUGGCUUAUAAACACAUUGCUGGAAUUUUUUUUUUUUAGUGAAAUUCAGACAGUCUCUUAAUAGGUGAAUUUAACUGGUUUUUUUGUGAUCAUUGUUGCAAUGUUAUUUGCCAUUAAGUUCAUUUUCCUAUUAUGUUUUCUAAUUGGUGGGGGGGUUUUUGCUUCCCCUAUUUGCUUGAUCAAAAAAUUUUCCUAUAGUAAAUUAAGCAUUCAACAUCUUCUUGCUGUGUUACUGGUGGAUAACUUUAAAGUUUUAAACAUGUUUGAAUUUCUAUUUCUCUCAAUUUCACAUAUUUAAGGCCUCUAUUCACCCUGAACAAGAAACUCAGCAGAAAGUCAGAUUUCUGCCCAUCUUCCUACCAGUGCACAUACACAUUCUCUGUCUCCUGGGUUUCGCUGGAAUCAUCUAGAAUACAGUUCAGAAUUCUAAACUUUUCACAAAUGUCUCUAUCUCAAUCUCUUAAUAGUGACACUAAAUGUCAGUCAUAUUAUUAAAAAAUAUUUUGGCCCAACUCCCUGUUUACCCAGCUUCACUGCUCACCUGUUUCUUAUAAACCUGUUUCUGAGUUCUUGAUUUUGAUUUGCUUUCUUCUGGAGUAUUUCUUUGGAUUUUUUUGUUUUCAGAACAUGUGCGAGUCCUUGCACCUCUGAAUGUUUCUGUCUUUGUCCUGACACACCAGCGAUCAGGCUGAGCAUCUCUCCUGGAGAGGAUGUCUCCUUGCCAAAAAUUCAUCCUCCUUCCACGCAGUGGGAUUGCACAUCCUAGCGCUGCUGAGCUCGGGCAUGGUCCGUGAAAGAUGGGUAGACGGGUGUGCGUCUCAAGGCGGAUGCUUCAAGAACCAGCAUAUGGCUCACGUGUCCUCUCCCUCUCGACUAGCACUGGCCACGUUCCAGGUAGAGACUCCUCCAUCCCCCUGGGUUCUGGCCCAAAGUCGACCUCAAGCAGAGCUGCAGCCAACCUGCCACGGCCAUGUGGUGUGAGAAACAGGUCUGUCACAUGUCACUGAGGUCUGGGGGUCAUGUGUUACCCGCAGGCUGUUCUAGCCUGUCCUGAUCUACGUAUUGUUAUGGGUUGCAGACCUUUCCUCUGAGAAGUUGGAGCUCUGGCCAUGGGGCUGGGGCAAAUUCCUUGCCCUCUCUGCUCCCUGAACACUGCCCACCUCCGCCACCCCCCUCCCCCGACCAUCUGUAAAGCAUGGGAGUGAAUUAGAUGAACACAGAGGUCCUUGCCAGGUUUGACAUUAAACUGAUCUUUUCUGCCAGAUAAGGGCCUUCCUGAAGAUUCCUCUUAAUCAGGCAGCUGACUUUGUAUUUUUACAAAGCAAAUUAUGUACGAGAGAUUUUGGCUAUUUGUUGCUAGAAAUAGGCCCAGCUGACGUCUGGUGGGGACAGAUAUUUGAGAAGCCCUGGAAGGCACCAGAAGGCGGACACCUACCUGGAGCUGGGAUGGAUUUCUGGUCUGUCCUCGGCCUCCCUGGCUUGGUGACAGGCAGGAGCUCUGCCUGCGCCCGCUGAUCUCUUUCUCACCAUUGAGUGCCUGCUGUGUGCCAAGCGUCCUGCCAGGGCCUGCAAGGAUGAGACACACUGACCCUCUAGGAAGCACCUCUAUUUGGGGAGGUGGGCUUGGUGAUCUUCAUGUAGAUGGGGCUUUCCUGUGGCGCUGCCUUCCUUCACUUCCUCGUGGGAUCCUGGCAGCCGCUGGUGAGAUGGGAAACGGACUGAGAAUCAGCAGAGCUGGGACCGGAACCCGGGCCUUCUGCAGCUCCAGACUCUGCUCUUCCCUGCACGCGCUGCCUCUGCUGCUCUUUAUGGUGGUGGCCAAAGGAGCCGUGCUGACGGGAAGGAUGAGUGAGGCCGAUAUUCCUGUGCUGCUGGGAGGCCUUGCAGGAGGUAGCCUCCACCACCUUGAAGGAGGAGAAGGAGGAGGAAAAGCUGGGAGAGAUAAAGAAGCUGAGGUCUGGAGAGGAGAAGGGACGAAGGUCUGGCCGCAAGUCCAGCACAAGCCAGGUGCUGGAUGGAAAGUCAUUGGCCGCUUCAGCCUGUCUGUUCUCUUGAUGGGCAGAUAUUUAUGGAACAUGUCCACGUUCCAGGCAUUGAUUAGGCCCUGGGGAUACCUCAGGGAAAAAAGGAGUCACAAAUCUCUGCCUUUGUGGAGCACACCGUGAGCCCAAAUUUACACCUAAGGACACUGGAGCACAGAGAGGUUAAGUGCUUUUCUGAGUCCGCACAGUGAAUACAGAGAACAAGCAAUCUGGAUGUUGUGUCUACCGGCUCUCUUCACAAGAUCCCUCUGCCUUCAUCUGGGAACUGCUCCUUCUCACACCCAGUCAGUCCGUAUGAUGCCGGCAGGAGCGCUCUGGUCUCUCAGGACCCUGCUGGCGACCCUUGAACCAAGCAUGGGACAGGAGAUCCAUUCUCGGGGUUUUUGUACUGGAGACCAGAGGAAGCGCAAAGUCAGUCUGUGGAAGCGGUGAGAGGAAAACUGGAGCUGUUGGCUGCCAUGUUUUCUUCCAUGUGGAAUGUGUCACUCUGCAGGGAGAGAGGAGAGUGGAGCCAAGGCGCAGACGGAGAGAAGCAGAGAUGUGAGAGAAAGGAGAGAGAGACACGCUGGGGCUCAUCUCUCCAGCCUCAGCCAUCCUGAGACCCAGCACGUUCCUCUCUGAGUUCCCAGAAACACCCAGAAUCUGUAUAACAAACUCCGCUUUCUCAGUUAAACUUGCAUCCGAAGGAGGCCUGGUUAAUCGACUGGGACAAUGGCAAGUGCCUAUGAGCAACCGCCCUAAGCUGCUUUGAGCUCCUGCCACAUCCUGGGCUUGCCUUUUGGCUUCUGGAGCUGACAGUGUCCUGUUCUCAGAGAACUUUGCAAUAGAUUCUCUGCCUUCCAAGCAUGUGGCUGCAACCUAACUCUUAAUAAAUCAGACGGGAGCUUUCUGCAUGGAAAAGAGCCUCUGCCAUACAUCAUUUUUGUUUUCCUCUUGGGGAGAGCAACUAUGCUACAGCAAUAACCUGCCACGUGUAUAUCUCAAAGCCCUAUUUAUAUAGCCAUAUGGAUAAAUAUAUAUAAAUAGGACUGUGGGAUAAUAGAUUAAGGGACCUGCUCAUCCAUAGAAGACUUAUGGGCUUUCAGGACCUAAUGGCGGCCUGAUUCAGUAAGAAAAAUGGGUCUUCGGCAGGAUGUGGCCAAGAAUUAGAUGAGCCCAUAACCUGAUCGAAAGCCCACCCGGGAGAUGGAGAGGUGGGGAGGACCGUGAGGAGCCAGAAGCUCUGGCAGGACGAGCCAAGAGAGGGAAUGAGCGGGGCAGGGCUGUGAAAAGUCAGGCCCCCUGAGCUGUCUUCCCAGUUCAGCCUCUAUUUUGCUGUGUGACCUUGGGCAGCUCACUUGUCUUCUCUGAGCCUUGAUUCCUCAUAUAUAAAUGAAGAAUGUGGACUUGCUGACCUCCAACGUCAGCUUUUUCCUCUCUGGCAUUAAAAUGACUCUGAGCUCUGUGGUCCUUGACCUCUGGGCCGGAAAGGUCAGGCAGUCUCAGUUAGACUGAGCCGAUCCCUAGGCUUUGAACUUGUGCUCCUCAUAGGUCUUGUACCUUCUGGAGGUCAAUUCAAAAGGGAUCGGCAGUCACAAACCAAAGGUCCUGGGGCUGUCUGAAUAACAAUAACAACAGCUGUUACUACUACUUCUCCCAUUAUUCUGCACGACUGCGGCUGGGUGCUUUGUGCUCAUGAUCCAUGACUAACAUUUAUUGAGCACUUACUCUGUGCCAGGCACCAUUCUAUACACUUCACAUGUGUUAUCAUUCUCACCAGAACCCCAGGAGGUAGGUACAAUUAUUAUCCCCAUUUAUAGAUGAGGAAGCAGAAGCACAGAGAGGCCCAGUGACUGGUCCGAGUUCACACAGCUGGUAAGUGAUGCUGUUAAGACACCUGCUGGAAUCUGACUCCAACCUCUGCAUUCUAAUCCCCACUGUGUACCUCCCAUUUACAGGGGCAGAAACUCAGGCUACAAGAGGUUAAUUAACGUGUGAACAGCCAGAUGCUUGGAGCUCUCAGACCUGUCAAUUUCGUGGGCUGCGAUAUAGAGGAAAGGGAUUCUCGCUGCUCCUCGUGUUUCUUUCGGUUUUUCCAACUCAGUCCAUUUUUUUUUCUAACAAAAGUCUAUUUACAGAAGCAACAUAUAGGACCCGUGAUAACCACAUGUCGGCCAUGCUUCAGUGAACCCCCAAAUCAAAGAUGGACUGGAUAACGUGCACCUGAUGCGAUUGGCUUUUUUCAGGAUUUCAGACUGGUUUUUGUUCCUUCUGUGGGUUGAAAGGAGGCUUUUGAGACUUGAUGAGGGCACAUUUCUCCUGGGGAGUAAUAAUGCGGCUGGUGUUAGACCUAAUGCUGAGGAGAGAACAUUUGCUAUUUUGGAAGAGUUAAUCCCAAAGCCUCUUUCUCUGGCUCCUGCCUUUAGAAAAAGGCAUUUCUGAGGCAGGUCCAGGCGGGACCGCAGCCUCAUAAUCCACCCUCAAUCAUCCGAACGCUGAUCAUGGAACUUUGUGGAGCUCCUGGAUGUGCCAGGCCGGGGCAGGAGGCUGACGUCAUUCUCCCGACACCUUCCGAACGGGCCUUGCUGUCACCCCCACAUUACAGAUGAGGAGCUGAGGCCCAGAGAGGUUAAACAGCCUUGCUGCGCCAUCCCAGCCAGCAAGGGGCAGAGCUGGGACUAGAACUCGACUCCGUACGCUGGGCUGUAACACCGUGCUCUGAUACAUCUGGGACCGGCAAUCGAAUUUACCGGAAAAAAUGAAAAUUACGUCAAGAAAUUUCAACUUUUCACUUAAAGGGAGCGCCUUACGGCUUCUCUUUGGCAUAUCCAAAUUGCCAGCAGCACUGCUCUUGCACUUUGGGGCCAUUAAGUGAAACAGGGGUACCUGAACACAAGCCCUGUGAUACCUCGACAGUCGAUCUGAUAACUGAGAGGGCCACUAAGUGACUACGGGCUGGGAGCACGUACAAGGGAGUUCCAGCCUAAUUUCCUGGAAAAGGGCCAGAGCAAGGGAAUCCUGGGCUCCUUUCUGACAGGAGGCGGAGAAGCGGGGGCCAGGCACAAUCAACUCUUUAUCGUCAGGAAGCUUGUGGAGCCCUCUUGCCUGGUGACAUUUCUAGGCAAGCGGAGACUUUAG
This 5334-nucleotide long non-coding RNA is filed under the name Equus caballus (horse). RNAcentral describes it as "lncRNA (ENSECAG00000043952.1)". Lineage: Eukaryota; Metazoa; Chordata; Mammalia; Perissodactyla; Equidae. The record is from RNAcentral.